AUUAAUCUUCCCUAAAGUGUAUAUUUUUAGUGAUUUAUAGGGUUGUGAAACUAAGCUUGAUAUAUUCAUCAAGUGGCUGUAAUAGAAACUCCCUUAAAAAGAAAAAAACUUCCCCAAGGGCUUAUCAUCUACUCUUUUAAAAGAACCUUUUUAACCUGUCUACUGUAUGUUGUCACAUCUUCUAGAGAGGAUGACCUUAUCAGAAGACUGCUUCCCACCUUCGGACCGUGGUACGGACAAACGGUGCCCUGGCGUCACGAAGUGAUUGAGAAAUAAUAAUGUGAAGAACUACCUGAAAACCAGACGGCAGAAGAAUACUUGUUUGGAUAACCGCGCUGAUAGCUAUCAACAUUUUACCAGUUUUUAACAUUUUACAAAUGUGAGCCCAUUAAAUGGCCUAUGUGAGGGAGAUGUGACAUAAUGAAUGCCUUCUGGCGUAAAUGAACAGGAUAUUUAUAGAUACAAUCUACAUUGUAAAUGCACUUCUUCUUCCCUUGUUUUUCAUAACAACCAGCAGAAUCAUGAAGGCAGCUCUGGAUUAGGCUGCAAUACAUCAAAAUGACGCAAAGAACUUAUUUAACUUUUUAUUUAUGUAGACUAAAGAUUAGAUUUUUUUUCUCUGGGAUUAGCAAAGUGGCUAGAAAGCUUCCUAAACCAGUCAAGCAUAGCCAUAUGCUAAAAAAUGCUCUGCUUCCCACUGCCACUUUGUCCAGCUCUGCAGAAGUGACGGUGCUUUCUAUAGCGAAUGAUUGACCUUGCUUGACUCCUACGCUUUUUUUGUUAUGUCUGCAAACAACAGCAACAGAUGUGGUAGAGGGUGUGAUGAGGGCAGAAUGAGAGGCCCUAGAGGCAGAUGACAAUAACCCCUUGUGUUUGUGAUGCCAGGGCAUAGUUUAUCCUCAGAACCACUCAAAGGUAUACUGCUGGAACCUGGGCUAGGCACAGGGGCAAUAAUGACUUUGACCCCAAGUUACGGAACCACGGAAGCUCUACUGAGUUAGACAGGUGGAAUAGUCUAUACAGCUUAACUAGGCCCACGGAGGUGACCAGUGACUUCAGAGACCCUAGGGGUUGCUGGGACUUGCAGUGGAUUGGGACAAUUUUGAUGCAGGCCAAGUUGACUGAAGACAGGUUUACUUUGACUUGACUGAGACUGACUAUACCCCGUUUGUUGCUUACCAGACUCUGACUGGGACCUGGAGGGUGUGGACUUGUAGACUUGUUGCUGCGUGGAUGACUUGAGGCCUCCUCUGGACUCCAGACACACUUUUAGGACUUGACUGCAAUGGACCUCAGCAAAGACUUAACUGGAAAUCAAAAGAGCGAGCUAGCUCCUCCCAGGGCUUAUAUAGGGGAGACUAGGAGGGGUCCCAUAGGUCACCAUAAGGUCACAUGGUAACUGAUACCUCACUGGGUUACAAUCACAUGACACUGGUUAGUCACAUGUCAAUGGUUCUUAAAGACAUAACACUUUUACAAUACAAGGGGAACAGGUGCAGGGGCCCACGGAACACUGCAGGGAGGCUGUCUGACAGGGCAACUAGAGUACAGGGGUACAACUCCUCUACCGGGCCACCACACAGGGCUUCGCUCUCCCCGCACUCCCAUAGAGAAUGCAUGGAGGGGCCACCAUUCUGGAGAUCAUGGGGGUCCCAGCAGUCAGUCUCCCCUGCUAUCAGACUCCCCUAUCUUGUAUAUAGGACAUGAGUUUUAAUAAUCUGGAAAACCAAUUUAUUUGUCUUGUGUGAACAUAUCCUUAAAGGGGUACUCCACCAGUAGACAUCUUAUCCCCUAUCCAAAGGAUGGGGGAUAAGAUGUCUGAUCGCGGGGGAGUCCUGCCGCUGGUUACCCCCGCGAUCUCGGCUGCGGCACCCCAGUCAUUCCUGCACAGAACGAACUUCGCUCAGUGCCGGAUGACUGGCGAUGCGGGGCGGAGGCUUGUGAUGUCACGGUCA
Long non-coding RNA from Hyla sarda, 1955 nucleotides. RefSeq lists it as uncharacterized. Lineage: Eukaryota; Metazoa; Chordata; Amphibia; Anura; Hylidae. The record is from RefSeq and is a predicted model, not a curated record. The transcript has 3 exons.